GGUAGUUACUAGAGGAGAGAAAAAUCAUAUAUACCUUACCCUGGUAUACCAUUCUGUACCUUUUCCAUGGUUGUGUGCAUAUGCUUUUUCUGAGGGAUCAUAAAGCAAUAAAUUCAUAUAUUCUGGUGAUAGGAGUUUUUUGUAUGUAUAGUGAUGACAAGUAUUCUGUACCCCUUGGCUGACAUUAUUGAUACCUUGUACAUGGACCUGGGGCUGACAUUAUUGAUGAGAAAGUAGAUAAAAAGAUGAAGACUUCUUCAUAGUAUUGCAUGACAUUCUGGCUGAAAUUGAAGAAGUUAUUGAGCUUCAUCCAGUCCCAGUUAUUGAUCAGUACAACUAUCUUUACUUUUUUUGUUUGCCCUCUUUGGUUAUAGAAUAAAAUGAUAUAUUACCUCAAAUUAUGGCUUCUGAAUAUUAAAUGUGUUGAAUAAUCGCAACUUGAACUUCUUAAUCCUGUAUGGCUGAUCACUUGUUGUUCGUACAUGCACUACAACAAAGCAGACAA
Molecule: long non-coding RNA, 505 nt
Organism: Beta vulgaris subsp. vulgaris (sugar beet)
Lineage: Eukaryota; Viridiplantae; Streptophyta; Magnoliopsida; Caryophyllales; Amaranthaceae
Exons: 3
Source: RefSeq, a predicted model, not a curated record